Molecule: ribosomal RNA, 213 nt
Filed under: Triticum aestivum (bread wheat)
Lineage: Eukaryota; Viridiplantae; Streptophyta; Magnoliopsida; Poales; Poaceae
Description: partial small subunit ribosomal RNA
Source: RNAcentral
UUGUCACUUCCUAAACUCAAACGAGGAAUGGGUUUCCGAGACUUGGAAAGCUUCAAUAUUGCAUUGUUGGGCAAACACGGCUGGAGAUUGAUGAAAAACCCCGAGUCCUUGUGCUCUAGGGUUCUAAAAUGCCGCUAUUUUCCAACCUCUGAUUUCAUGAAUGCCUCUGUGCCACGAAGCGCCUCCGCGACAUGGAAGGGAAUUAUGGCUGGG